This 274-nucleotide ribosomal RNA is filed under the name uncultured bacterium. Its description in RNAcentral is "partial 16S ribosomal RNA". It matches the Rfam family "Bacterial small subunit ribosomal RNA", at positions 523 to 796 of the family's 1533-position model. The record is from RNAcentral.
AUACGAAAGGGGCAAGCGUUGUUCGGAAUUACUGGGCGUAAAGCGCACGUAGGCGGCAUUGUAAGUUGGGGGUGAAAUCCCGGAGCUUAACUCCGGAACUGCCUUCAAAACUACAAAGCUAGAGGAUGUGAGAGGAUAGUGGAAUUCCGAGUGUAGAGGUGAAAUUCGUAGAUAUUCGGAAGAACACCAGUGGCGAAGGCGACUGUCUGGCACAUUUCUGACGCUGAGGUGCGAAAGCGUGGGGAGCAAACAGGAUUAGAAACCCCAGUAGUCC